RNAcentral lists this ribosomal RNA (234 nucleotides) under uncultured bacterium. Its description in RNAcentral is "partial 16S ribosomal RNA". It matches the Rfam family "Bacterial small subunit ribosomal RNA", at positions 118 to 347 of the family's 1533-position model. The record is from RNAcentral.
UGAGCAAUCUGCCCUUCUCAUCGGAAUAAGCGUUGGAAACGACGUCUAAUGCCGAAUACGACCUCCUUUCGCAUGAUCGGAGGUGGAAAGCUCCGGCGGAGAAGGAUGAGCUCGCGGCCUAUCAGCUAGUUGGUGUGGGUAAUGGCCCACCAAGGCGACGACGGGUAGCCGGCCUGAGAGGGUGACCGGCCACACUGGGACUGAGACACGGCCCAGACUCCUACGGGAGCCCAG